RNA transcript from Vespa velutina, 4615 nucleotides. It is a transcript of the gene named chorion peroxidase, with no coding region annotated. The record is from RefSeq and is a predicted model, not a curated record. NCBI's taxonomy places the organism in Eukaryota, Metazoa, Arthropoda, Insecta, Hymenoptera, Vespidae. The transcript has 17 exons.
UCAGUAAAUCGUCGACCGCCGGAGUGAAAGACGGAGAGUAAAGGUACCACAAGAGACACCAUCGCUAGAGCUAUUCAUUCCAUCGCGAGAAUCGAACUGGAGCUAGCCGAAAGGAAGCAAAAGUAGAAGUGGACGACGUUAUUCCAACAAUCCAAACGCAUUGCCGAGUACGCGUUGCUUAGCACUUACAAAGAAUUAUUCGUUCCCAAAGAAGUGUUCACGCUGAGCAGAGGAACGAAUUAAACACGCGUGUGUUAUCAUCGUUAUCUAUCACCGGGAGUGAUUGUUAUUACUGUUACUGUUAUAGUUGUUAUUAUUAUUAUUAUUAUUAUUAUUAUUGUACUUUUUCUUUUCUUUUUUCUUUUUUUUUUUUUUUAUCUUCCUCCUGUUCUCUUUUUUUCUUUUUCUCUUUUGCUCUUCUCUUGUUUCAUUCCGUUUACGUUUCGUUUUGUUCAAUUUAAAACGGACUCUCCCGGAAAACAAAAGUCUCCUCGACUUCCUUUCAUCCCUCUUUUCGAUUUUGUCAUUUUUCUUUUGUCUACAUUCUUUUUUCCCUUUCCCUUUCUUGUUUUUUUCUUUCUUUCUGUCUUUCUGUCUGCUCUCUCUCUCUCUCUUUCUCUUUUUAUCUUCGUCUCCCUUCUCUCCCUUUCAUCCUCACGUCCACCCUUUUUGGUUUUGUCAACUCAACGUUGGUUUCGUGAAAACGUACGGAUCGCGUGUGACCAGGCAGCGCGAUGCUCGAAGGAUUCGCGAUAGCGCGGAGCACGAUAAUAGGAAUCGUGGCGUUACUGAUCGGAUUUAACAGCCAUGAUCAUGCAUGCAAAGGAUUGCAAUAUCAACCGGUUGAGAUUUAUGGAAACGCCGAGGAAUGUGCUUUGAUCCUAGAUGGUCCUGGCAGAACUAGCGUUUUCGAUUACACUUAUAAUUUACUUCGAGGAAAUUUUCCACCUACUGCGGGAUCGCAGACCUGUAUCACCUACGAUGCCGUUAAUCAUGCCUAUAUCGAGGCGAGGAAACGCAUCAACGUCGCAAAGCCUAAACACGAAAUCUGGAGACCCGAGGAUCUGGCUACGGUCGGUGAACUCUUACUUGACAUAUCAACUAAUUUAGCUCAAAUAUACGGCCUGACAUUUGAGGAUAUUGAGAAAAAUCUUCCAUUGAUCGACACAUCGAAAACACUGAUACGCGAGAUAUGUCCCGCUUUUCUAAGCAACGUCGAAUGUCGACCGGGAAAAUAUCGAAGAUACGAUGGGCUAUGUACAAAUUUACAAAAUCCAACAUGGGGUUCAACUUUGUCGCCAUUCACAAGAUUAAUGCCACCACGAUUUUCCGAUGGUAUAUCAGCACCUAGGAUAGCCGUAAGUGGACGAGAAUUACCAUUGUCCAGAAUAGUAUCCCGUACGAUGCAUCCAGAUGAGGGAUAUCACGAUCAUGCUGGUACUGUCAUGGUGAUAGCCUGGGGCCAAUUCAUGGAUCAUGAUUACACGCUUACUGGAACGCCCUUAGAUCCUCUAAAUCGUAAUGAUCCGGAAGAAUGUUGUUCUCGUCCACCGCAUUUGAAGAAUCCAUAUUGCAACGAGAUACGUAUACCAGAGGACGAUUACUUCUACAGAUUGUUCAACGUUCGAUGUAUGGACUUUGUACGAGCGUUUCCAGCAGUCCGACCAGGAUGUCGUCUUGGAUCACGUAUACCUUUCAAUUUGUUAACCGGAGUUUUGGAUGGAAAUACCGUUUACGGUAUUACGGAGAAUUUUUCUAGAAAACUCCGAAGCGGUUAUGGCGGAUUGUUAAGAAUGAAUCCAGUUUUUAAUGAGUACGGAUUGAAAGAUCUAUUGCCAUUGAAAUUAGAUAUACCAGACGAAGGAUGCACUCGUCCGAACAAAUCGAUGUACUGUUUCGAAGCAGGUGAAAUUCGAGUUAACGAGCAGUUGGUAUUAACGUGUAUGCAUACGUUGGUAGCAAGGGAACACAACAGGAUUGCUAAAAUACUCACUCGUAUUAAUCCUCAUUGGGAUGACGAGACGUUGUUCCAGGAAUCAAGACGCAUAGUCAUCGCUGAAAUCCAACAUAUCACUUAUAAUGAAUUCCUCCCGAUUCUUUUGGGAAAAGACGUUAUGGAGAAGUUUGGACUUCUUCUUGAGAAAAAUGUAUAUUGGGAUGGAUACGAUCCAACAGUAAAUCCUGGUGUUAUCGAUGCAUUCGCCGCUGCUGCAUUUAGAUUUGGACAUUCUUUGCUACCAACUGCGGUCGAACGUUGGAGCAAGGCUCAUAAAUUUAUUGCUUCGAAAAGAUUAUCAGAUCUAAUUAGAAGACCGUACGAUCUAUAUCGCGCUGGAGUUUUGGACGAAUACUUUAUGGGAUUAAUGAAUCAAGUUGCCCAAGCUAUGGACGAUUCGAUAACACAAGAAGUGACAAAUCAUUUGUUCAAAAAGGUUGGUGCAAAGUUCGGAAUGGAUUUGGUAUCAUUCAAUAUGCAACGUGGAAGAGAAUUUGGUAUACCGAGUUACAUGGACUUCCGAAAAUAUUGUGGAUUACCCGAGGCUAAGACCUUCGACGAAUUGUUCGGAUCCAUGCCAAACGAGACUAUUGGACGGUAUAGCUCCAUUUUCGAACAUCCAGCGGACGUAGAUUUGUGGUCCGGUGGUGUAUCAGAGCGACCACUUCCGGGUAGUAUGCUUGGUCCAACCUUCGCCUGUGUAAUCGCUACGCAAUUUAGCCAUUCACGACGUGGUGACAGGUUUUGGUACGAAUUACCGAACCAACCAUCGUCCUUCACUCUCGAUCAACUCAAUGAAAUUCGUAAGACGAAACUUGCUAAAAUGAUAUGCGACAACACAGACCUGAUAGACACCAUACAAAUAUAUCCAAUGGUUCUGCCUGAUCAUGAAAUCAAUCCACGAGUACCAUGCCGUAGUGGUGUAUUACCAAGUAUAGACCUGAGCAAAUGGGCCGAGUUUCCAACGAGCCAUUCAACGCAAUAUGUGAGUAAUCUAGCGCGACAGUACGGGCCUUUUGGGAAGUAAGAAAAGGGCCUCAUCCACGUUCCAUCCUAGAAAAUAUUAAUAAACAAUCAGAAAAAAAGAGAAAAAAAAACAACAACAACAACAACAAAAAAUAUAUAUAUAUAAUAUAUACACCGGGAUACUACAUACUUAUCACCACUACCACUACCACCACCACCACCACCACCACCACCACCACCACCACCACCACCACCAUCACCAUCACCACCACCACCACCACCACCACCACGUAGCAUGCCUCACGAGCAAGGACAUCCUAAUCCAAGACACAUUGCCUAGGCAUGCACGCAGAAAAUAAAACAAGCAAGCAAGCAAGCAAGUAACAACAACAACAACAACAACAACAACAACAACAACAAUAACAACUACAACAACAACAACAAUUAAAGCAACAACAACAAGAACAACAACAACAAAACCCAUAAUCACGUUUGUAGUUUAUUCAUUAAAAAUGAAUAGGAGGAAUGAAAGUGAUAACCCCUUUUUUUUUUUUAUUUUGCCAUUUUUUUGUCUUUCCUUUUUUUCUCUCUUCGAGAAAACUAAGAAAGAUCUUGAAGGAAGGUAAAUUAAUUUAUUAAAAUCGAUAAACGACAAAAGAAUAAUUAAUUUUGCUGCAUGGUAGAUGAUACCUAUAACAGAGGAAAAAGCUUUUCAUUAGUUCUUCAUACAUAACUUAUAAGUUCAUUCAAUUAAAUGUUAGAGAGAAAUAGAGAAAGAGAGAGAGAGAGAGAGAGAGAGAGAGAGAGAGAGAGAGAACUAAUUUAAUGUAUUUUAUAUUACGUAUUAAACGGCGAAUCGAGAGUGACAGUAAAAUCAAAAUUUAUCGUUAAUAUUAAUUGCCGUAUGCAAUUUAGAGUUUAGCGAGUUUUUUCUUUUCUUCUUUUUUUUCUUUUUUUCUUAGAUCCUGUAGAGGUCGAAGACUUAAUUUGCAUGGUGCAUAGCGAACAUAGUACCUAUAUCACAUAUAUUAAUUACACAUACACACACGCACACACAUAUACGUCUCUACAUAAUAUAUAUAUAUAUAUAUCUAUAUAUAUAUAUAUAGAAUAGAAUUCUGUAUUUAUCUUUAUACACUUCAAUCAUCUCACAGUUUGAAAUUUAGUUUGAAAUAGAAAUCAAUUUAUCUAUUAAUAAUAUAUUACGCACGUUUUCACGCCGUUAUUAUUAUGCACAUUGAUUGGACUAAAACUUCGUUGAUUCGAUACUUUGAUAAGUGAAACAAAAAAUAUUCACAUACUUACACACACACAAACACAUACCCAUACGUACAUUUUACACGUAUAUACACAUCCAUCCAUCCAUCCAUCCAUCCAUCCAUCCAUCUAUCCAUCCAUCCUAAUCGUCCAUUGUCCUUGAUUUUCCCGUCGCCAUUUAUUUUGCGCAGCACCACCACCGUCGUCGGCACACAAGCUACAAAUGUAAAAAAGAAAAAACUAUUGUACUGUAGCGUUUGGUGGAGGAACGUUUGCUUGACGUGCCGGGACGUCCGGCGAAUGCGGACACGGUACGGGACCACUACGAGAAACAGGACGCUUUGCGAAUCUUCUUUGAGAGUAUUAAUGGCAUUGCUUCGUAUCUGGGCAUCACGA